UACGUAGGGUGCAAGCGUUAAUCGGAAUUACUGGGCGUAAAGCGUGCGCAGGCGGUUUUGUAAGACUGGCGUGAAAUCCCCGGGCUCAACCUGGGAAUGGCGAUGGUGACUGCAAGGCUAGAGUUUGGCAGAGGGGGGUAGAAUUCCACGUGUAGCAGUGAAAUGCGUAGAUAUGUGGAGGAACACCGAUGGCGAAGGCAGCCCCCUGGGUCAAAACUGACGCUCAUGCACGAAAGCGUGGGGAGCAAACAGG
This 253-nucleotide ribosomal RNA is filed under the name uncultured bacterium. Its description in RNAcentral is "partial 16S ribosomal RNA". It matches the Rfam family "Bacterial small subunit ribosomal RNA", at positions 524 to 776 of the family's 1533-position model. The record is from RNAcentral.